This 1076-nucleotide ribosomal RNA is filed under the name Chaetomidium leptoderma. RNAcentral describes it as "SSU rRNA". It matches the Rfam family "Eukaryotic small subunit ribosomal RNA", at positions 26 to 1114 of the family's 1831-position model. The record is from RNAcentral. Lineage: Eukaryota; Fungi; Ascomycota; Sordariomycetes; Sordariales; Chaetomiaceae.
AUAUGCUUGUCUCAAAGAUUAAGCCAUGCAUGUCUAAGUAUAAGCAAUUAUACAGCGAAACUGCGAAUGGCUCAUUAAAUCAGUUAUCGUUUAUUUGAUAGUACCUUACUACAUGGAUAACCGUGGUAAUUCUAGAGCUAAUACAUGCUAAAAAUCCCGACUUCGGAAGGGAUGUAUUUAUUAGAUUAAAAACCAAUGCCCUUCGGGGCUCUCUGGUGAUUCAUAAUAACUUCUCGAAUCGCACGGCCUUGCGCCGGCGAUGGUUCAUUCAAAUUUCUGCCCUAUCAACUUUCGACGGCUGGGUCUUGGCCAGCCGUGGUGACAACGGGUAACGGAGGGUUAGGGCUCGACCCCGGAGAAGGAGCCUGAGAAACGGCUACUACAUCCAAGGAAGGCAGCAGGCGCGCAAAUUACCCAAUCCCGACACGGGGAGGUAGUGACAAUAAAUACUGAUACAGGGAUCUUUCGGGUCUUGUAAUUGGAAUGAGUACAAUUUAAUCCCUUAACGAGGAACAAUUGGAGGNNNNNNNNNNNNNNNNNNNNNGCGGUAAUUCCAGCUCCAAUAGCGUAUAUUAAAGUUGUUGAGGUUAAAAAGCUCGUAGUUGAACCUUGGGCCUAGCCGGCCGGUCCGCCUCACCGCGUGCACUGGCUCGGCUGGGUCUUUCCUUCUGGAGAACCGCAUGCCCUUCACUGGGUGUGCCGGGGAACCAGGACUUUUACUCUGAAUAAAUUAGAUCGCUUAAAGAAGGCCUAUGCUCGAAUACAUUAGCAUGGAAUAAUAGAAUAGGACGUGUGGUUCUAUUUUGUUGGUUUCUAGGACCGCCGUAAUGAUUAAUAGGGACAGUCGGGGGCAUCAGUAUUCAAUUGUCAGAGGUGAAAUUCUUGGAUUUAUUGAAGACUAACUACUGCGAAAGCAUUUGCCAAGGAUGUUUUCAUUAAUCAGGAACGAAAGUUAGGGGAUCGAAGACGAUCAGAUACCGUCGUAGUCUUAACCAUAAACUAUGCCGAUUAGGGAUCGGACGGCGUUAUUUUUUGACCCGUUCGGCACCUUACGAUAAAUCAAAAUGUUUGGGCUC